This 397-nucleotide ribosomal RNA is filed under the name Wilmottia murrayi. Its description in RNAcentral is "partial 26S ribosomal RNA". It matches the Rfam family "Bacterial small subunit ribosomal RNA", at positions 400 to 824 of the family's 1533-position model. The record is from RNAcentral. Lineage: Bacteria; Bacillati; Cyanobacteriota; Cyanophyceae; Coleofasciculales; Wilmottiaceae.
CGUGAGGGAGGGGGCUCUUGGGUUGUAAACCUCUUUUCUUGGGGAAGAAAAAAUGACGGUACCCAAGGAAUCAGCAUCGGCUAACUCCGUGCCAGCAGCCGCGGUAAUACGGAGGAUGCAAGCGUUAUCCGGAAUUAUUGGGCGUAAAGCGUCCGCAGGUGGCACUUCAAGUCUGCUGUCAAAGACCGGGGCUUAACCCUGGAGAGGCAGUGGAAACUGAAGCGCUAGAGUGUCGUAGGGGUAGAGGGAAUUCCUGGUGUAGCGGUGAAAUGCGUAGAGAUCAGGAAGAACAUCGGUGGCGAAAGCGCUCUACUGGACGACAACUGACACUCAGGGACGAAAGCUAGGGGAGCGAAUGGGAUUAGAUACACCCCGUAAACGAUGGAUACUAGGUGUG